CAGUCGCCGCGGUAAUACAGAGGGUGCGAGCGUUAAUCGGAAUCACUGGGCGUAAAGGGCGCGUAGGCGGCCUGUUAAGUCGGAUGUGAAAGCCCGGGGCUCAACCCCGGAACUGCAUCCGAGACUGGCAGGCUUGAGACCGGGAGAGGAGGGUGGAAUAUCCAGUGUAGAGGUGAAAUUCGUAGAUAUUGGAUGGAACACCGGUGGCGAAAGCGGCUCUCUGGCCCGGAUCUGACGCUGAGGCGCGAAAGCGUGGGGAGCAAACAGGAUUAGAUACCCCUGUAGUCCCUGUCUCUUAUAC
This 301-nucleotide ribosomal RNA is filed under the name uncultured bacterium. RNAcentral describes it as "partial 16S ribosomal RNA". It matches the Rfam family "Bacterial small subunit ribosomal RNA", at positions 509 to 807 of the family's 1533-position model. The record is from RNAcentral.